AUACGUAAUGUGAAUUGCAGAAUUCAGCGAACCAUCGAAUCUUUGAACGCACAUUGCGCCCGCCAGCAUUCUGGCGGGCAUGCCUGUCCGAGCGUCAUUUCCCCCCUCACGCGCCCCGUUGCGCGCUGGUGUUGGGGCGCCCUCCGCCUGGCGGGGGGCCCCCGAAAGCGAGUGGCGGGCCCUGUGGAAGGCUCCGAGCGCAGUACCGAACGCAUGUUCUCCCCUCGCUCCGGACGCCCCCCAGGCGCCCUGCCGUGAAAACGCGCAUGACGCGCAGCUCUUUUUACAAGGUU
Molecule: unclassified non-coding RNA, 293 nt
Filed under: Sporothrix schenckii
Lineage: Eukaryota; Fungi; Ascomycota; Sordariomycetes; Ophiostomatales; Ophiostomataceae
Description: sequence contains 18S rRNA gene, ITS1, 5.8S rRNA gene, ITS2, 28S rRNA gene
Rfam family: 5.8S ribosomal RNA (bases 1-97)
Source: RNAcentral